RNAcentral lists this transfer RNA (75 nucleotides) under Candidatus Roizmanbacteria bacterium CG_4_10_14_0_2_um_filter_36_9. RNAcentral's name for it is "tRNA-Val". It matches the Rfam family "tRNA". From Rfam's summary of the family: Transfer RNA (tRNA) molecules are approximately 80 nucleotides in length. Their secondary structure includes four short double-helical elements and three loops (D, anti-codon, and T loops). Lineage: Bacteria; Candidatus Roizmaniibacteriota. The record is from RNAcentral.
GGAUCCGUAGCUCAGUGGUAGAGCAUUCGAUUCACAUUCGAAAGGUCAGAGGUUCGACACCUCUCGGGUCCACAA